CUGGCCCUGAAUUGAAUUAAGGCCGGCAGCUUCUUGAUGCUGUUGGUUUUAAGCAGGAGCCUAAAGAGAUGUCUUUCUAUGGUCUGUUGGCCAUUUCAGAACUUGGGCAGUGAAAUGGUCAAUACAUUAGAAAGAAACAGCU
Cavia aperea (Brazilian guinea pig) is the source of this 142-nucleotide small nucleolar RNA. NCBI's taxonomy places the organism in Eukaryota, Metazoa, Chordata, Mammalia, Rodentia, Caviidae. The record is from Ensembl.